UACGCACGCUGGCGGCGUGCUUAACACAUGCAAGUCGAACGGAAAGGCCCUGCUUGCAGGGUGCUCGAGUGGCGAACGGGUGAGUAACACGUGGGUGAUCUGCCCCUUACUUUGGGAUAAGCCUGGGAAACUGGGUCUAAUACUGGAUAGGACCAUGCUGUAGGUGGUGUGGUGGAAAGAUUAGUUUCGGUAAGGGAUGAGCUCGCGGCCUAUCAGCUUGUUGGUGGGGUAAUGGCCUACCAAGGCGUCGACGGGUAGCCGGCCUGAGAGGGUGGACGGCCACAUUGGGACUGAGAUACGGCCCAGACUCCUACGGGAGGCAGCAGUGGGGAAUAUUGCACAAUGGGCGCAAGCCUGAUGCAGCGACGCCGCGUGGGGGAUGACGGCCUUCGGGUUUUAAACUCCUUUCAGCCAUGACGAAGCCCUUGUGGUGACGGUAGUGGUAGAAGAAGCACCGGCUAACUACGUG
RNAcentral lists this ribosomal RNA (469 nucleotides) under uncultured bacterium. RNAcentral's name for it is "partial 16S ribosomal RNA". It matches the Rfam family "Bacterial small subunit ribosomal RNA", at positions 29 to 507 of the family's 1533-position model. The record is from RNAcentral.